UGUCCUGAAGCAUUGGUGGUUGAUGCGGUCGACUCAUAAUCGACUGAAGGGGGUUCAACUCCCCACGGGACAACCA
RNAcentral lists this transfer RNA (76 nucleotides) under Pseudomonas juntendi. RNAcentral's name for it is "tRNA-Ile". It matches the Rfam family "tRNA". From Rfam's summary of the family: Transfer RNA (tRNA) molecules are approximately 80 nucleotides in length. Their secondary structure includes four short double-helical elements and three loops (D, anti-codon, and T loops). Lineage: Bacteria; Pseudomonadati; Pseudomonadota; Gammaproteobacteria; Pseudomonadales; Pseudomonadaceae. The record is from RNAcentral.